Molecule: long non-coding RNA, 177 nt
Filed under: Homo sapiens (human)
Lineage: Eukaryota; Metazoa; Chordata; Mammalia; Primates; Hominidae
Description: novel transcript
Source: RNAcentral
CCUUCCCACUCUGGCCCCCGCGGGAGACAUGUUAGGUAGCGGGACGCCAACCUUGUCACUCUUCUGAGACCGCCACCCAGUAACACGCCCUGCUUUCCUCCGCCGCCGCCGUCUCCUCCAUCAACUGUCUCCUUCUAACAUGUUAUUGCAGUUAAUAAAAAAGCGUUCUUUUCUUCA